CUCACUAGGACUAUUGCUUACAUAUAAGAAUUCAAGCCUAUAUCUUGGUGGAAACAACUUUAGUGGAAAUCUGCCUUCUGAAAUGGUUCAAUCAUCACGUCCUUUGGAUGUUUCGUAUAACCCCUUAGUUACUGGAAUCCUUCCUGACAAUCCUGCUGGUCAGAAG
Molecule: long non-coding RNA, 166 nt
Organism: Lolium rigidum
Lineage: Eukaryota; Viridiplantae; Streptophyta; Magnoliopsida; Poales; Poaceae
Exons: 3
Source: RefSeq, a predicted model, not a curated record